UGAGCCCAUUGCAGAGAGUAGUUCCUCAGUGGUGACGGAGUUGGUGGGCCUGAUGCUGAACCCGGAGGCCGAGCCGGAGCCAGAGGUCGAGGUGGAGCCAGAAUUCAAGGUGGAGGUGGCGGCCACUGGCGUAGUUGUGGCUGCACAUGUAGCCCCAGAGCCACAAGCUGACGUGGAGGCUGCUAGGGCGCUGCAUGUGCUGGAAAUUAUCCCACCAUCCGAGGCGAGGCCGUUUGAUAGUCAUGGGGUGACCUCCUCCUUUCCUUCAGAAGCUGGUUCAUCG
RNAcentral lists this long non-coding RNA (283 nucleotides) under Setaria viridis. Its description in RNAcentral is "long non-coding RNA (SVIR_LNC006666)". Lineage: Eukaryota; Viridiplantae; Streptophyta; Magnoliopsida; Poales; Poaceae. The record is from RNAcentral.